GAGCCACCUGUAGCGGAGGAAACAGCGUCUGCACCGUUAUAUUCACCGUCACACCGGCAGGACACGGGGCUUCUUCACCGUCCUCCUGAGGCGUUUUACAACCAAACACUUAAAAGAUGUUUCUCAGUUAUCUGCAUGUCGUGUUUCUCCUGGGCGCUGUCGUCAAAGGAAUGACAACAACAGAUUCCAUCACGACUAAUGUCACCACCGAAGAGAUAUCCACCACUCCUGCAACUUCCUACAUGAAUGUAACUGCAAGCUCAAAUACAAGCAGCAAUCAGUCAACCAGCAGUUUUCCAACUUCACCGCUAUCGACCACAGAGCCCUUCACAGCCUCAGUAGCUACAACAACUAUAGAAAGUGCCACAGCAGAAUCUACAACUCUAAAACCGUCCACCACCAAAGGAGAGACGACAUUCUCCCAGUCCAGCACUGAGUCCAGGAACACUACAGCAGCAGUCAACACCACCGGCAGCUUCACCACUGGCAGCCCAACUGACUCGCCAUCAGCUCCAACCAGCGGUACAACGCUGUCCACUGCAAUCCCAGAGACAAGCCAACCCACCAUCACUAGUGAGACUACAAAUACAGCCACCACACCUGCUCCAGAUCACACACUGACUCCAACUACACCGAUCACACACACAAGCAACGACACAUCUACCAUUACACCAAUCACAAGCAACGACACAACUACCAUUACACCAAUCACUAGCAACGACACAUCUACCAUUACACCAAUCACAAGCAACGACACAACUACCAUUACACCGAUCACAAGCAACGACACAACUACCAUUACACCAAUCACCAGCAACGACACAUCUACCAUUACACCGAUCACAAGCAACGACACAACUACCAUUACACCAAUCACCAGCAACGACACAUCUACCAUUACACCGAUCACAAGCAACGACACAUCUACCAUUACACCAAUCACAAGCAACGACACAUCUACCAUUACACCAAUCACAAGCAACGACACAACUACCAUUACACCAAUCACAAGCAACGACACAUCUACCAUUACACCAAUCACAAGCAACGACACAUCUACCAUUACACCAAUCACAAGCAACGACACAUCUACCAUUACACCAAUCACAAGCAACGACACAACUACCAUUACACCAAUCACAAGCAACGAUACAUCUACCAUUACACCAAUCACAAGCAACGACACAUCUACCAUUACACCAAUCACAAGCAACGACACAUCUACCAUUACACCAAUCACAAGCAACGACACAUCUACCAUUACACCAAUCACAAGCAACGACACAUCUACCAUUACACCAAAUACAAGCAACGACACAUCUACCAUUACACCAAUCACAAGCAACGACACAUCUACCAUUACACCAAUCACAAGCAACGACACAUCUACCAUUACACCAAUCACAAGCAACGACACAACUACCAUUACACCAAUCACAAGCAACGACACAUCUGCCAUUACACCAAUCACAAGCAACGACACAUCUACCAUUACACCGAUCACAAGCAACGACACAACUACCAUUACACCAAUCACAAGCAACGACACAUCUACAAUCACACCGACUACACAGUCCAACAACAACACAACCUUCAUUACAGCCACGACACAGCCCAGCAACAUCACAACAACUCCAGCAACCACACAAACCAGCAACGGCACAGCAAGUUCAACUACAGUAACUCCAGAAAACUCUACAGCUGUACUAACUACAACUACACUAAUAAACUCUACUAACACCUCUCCUGAGAGUCCUGCACCCACCAUCACACCCUCAUCCUCCACUAACACCUCAAACCCAACCCUAACACCUGGAACCCCACCCUCUUCCACUACCUCCAUCUCCAGCUCUCUCCCUGCAAGUAAUAGCACUGCUCCCACCACCGGAAAUACCACCACCCUUACUCCCUCAACAACAACCUCAGGAGUGACCGGCCACACCACUGUGGUUCAUUCAACUGAACCAUCUAGUGGCAGUACAACAGCCUCAUCCACCACCAUCACUGGCACCAGCCUGCGACCAACAGAAAUCACCACCAACAACUCCACCACAGCAGCCCCACCCAUCCCUCCAGUCAAAGUUUGUCCUUUCGUCCCGUGCCCACUUCAAAGCGUGUGUCUUAAUGGCACUUGCCAGUGUCUCUCUGGCAGCUACCUGGUGAAUGACCGCUGUGUACAGGGUAAGACCAUAAAAACAUUUCAUGUGUGCUCAGAGAGAGAAAACAGAAAUCAUUACAGGGUGGUGGUGAAACCUUUGCCUUAUUUUCUUCUCUCCUCCCCUUCAUUCAGCCCAAGUGUUCCCAGGCCAGCUUCAUCUCACAUCCUUGACAUUCACAAGUGAAAUGAGCAACAGGUCCUCUGUAAUAUUCCAGAAGACAGCGGCUCAAAUCUCAGCAUCGGUAGGUUGUGAGCUCACAAAAGCAUUUUGAAUUUCUAUAAUACAUUUUCCUCUCUCAGUCCUUAAAUCACAUGCUGCUUCUGUUUCACAGCUCAGAGAUGCCCUCAAAAACCAGCAGGGCUAUAAACAGUCUGAUGUUGUGCAACUUGAGUGAGUAUUUUGUCUUCCUACAGCAAAAAAUAUAUGAUGCCACUUUACAAAAUAUUUUUUUGUAACCUUCUUUGGUGCUUCACUUUUCUUUAGACCGGGAAGUGUGCAAGCAACUGUAAAUAACAUAUUUGAAAACACCAACACAAAUGAAACGUCUGUUGAUGAGGCCAUUCAGAAGGCUAUAGAGAACUCAGCAAAUCCAUUGUUGGCUGAUGCUACAUUUAGAGGUUAGUAGUUGCUGCUACACUGAUUGAUUUUGGAUGAGAACCUGACAUGUAUGAGCAACAGGCUACAUUAUUUCAAGAAGAGGAGGUUUUUCUCAUACACUUGUUUUACAUCUUCUCUGUUUUAGCUACAGACCUGUGUAUGCAGCAGCCAUUACCCUGUGAUGUCUCCACUACAUUGUGCACAAAUAGAAAUGGCCGGCCUGUUUGUUCCUGUAAAGAAGGCUUCAUCUCUAUCCUGUACUCAAACAGCACCUGCAAAGGUAAAAGAGACUAUUAAAUAUUCUUUAUUCAUCUCCUUUAUCAUGACUGGUGUUAGGUUUUUGCAAUUUUGACAAUGUACCUGGCACUAGAG
RNAcentral lists this long non-coding RNA (3128 nucleotides) under Cottoperca gobio. RNAcentral describes it as "lncRNA (ENSCGOG00000022993.1)". The record is from RNAcentral. Lineage: Eukaryota; Metazoa; Chordata; Actinopteri; Perciformes; Bovichtidae.